Eubalaena glacialis (North Atlantic right whale) is the source of this 510-nucleotide long non-coding RNA. RefSeq lists it as uncharacterized. NCBI's taxonomy places the organism in Eukaryota, Metazoa, Chordata, Mammalia, Artiodactyla, Balaenidae. The record is from RefSeq and is a predicted model, not a curated record. The transcript is spliced from 3 exons.
GGAGGGGGUGAGAACGGUGGCCCCUCACGUCCUCUAACUCUGUUCUGUGUUCCUCCACAUAUGGCUCCAUCUCCUGUCAUAACACAAGAGACCUGGGCACAUGCAAGUGGCCUUGUAAAUUCGUUCCUGAUGGAGAGGAGCUGGAAGACUCCACCAAGGACAAGCUGCUUUGAGGAUUUAGGAGAAGAUUUCGUAGCUCUAGGCCUGGGAAUAAACACUCGAUUGGGUAGACCAGGGAUAUGCUCUUCAUAGACCAGGCCCUGCAGACACUGCUGAAUGCCUCUCUGAGGCCCUGCAUGGGCUCCAGCCAUGACUGGAGUGCCUGCCGUUUCCAGGAGUCCGACUAGGUGCAACCGAAUGUCGUGGGUGCAGUGAGAUGAAACCAGAAAAAGCAUCUCUCUGCCCUAAGACUAUGUCUUUGGUCUAGACUUCCGCAUGUGCUUGACCAACAGUUUCAUCCAUUCCGACAGCCAUAGACUUUUGUUUUCCUCUGGUUAAAAAAGUAGUUGA